RNAcentral lists this ribosomal RNA (806 nucleotides) under uncultured bacterium. RNAcentral describes it as "bacterial SSU rRNA". It matches the Rfam family "Bacterial small subunit ribosomal RNA", at positions 1 to 815 of the family's 1533-position model. The record is from RNAcentral.
GAAUUCGCCCUUAGAGUUUGAUCCUGGCUCAGGACGAACGCUGGCGGCGCGCCUAACACAUGCAAGUCGAACGAGAGAGAGGGAGCUUGCUUCCUUGAUCGAGUGGCGAACGGGUGAGUAACGCGUGAGGAACCUGCCUCAAAGAGGGGGACAACAGUUGGAAACGACUGCUAAUACCGCAUAAGCCCACGACCCGGCAUCGGGAAGAGGGAAAAGGAGCAAUCCGCUUUGAGAUGGCCUCGCGUCCGAUUAGCUAGUUGGUGAGGUAACGGCCCACCAAGGCGACGAUCGGUAGCCGGACUGAGAGGUUGAACGGCCACAUUGGGACUGAGACACGGCCCAGACUCCUACGGGAGGCAGCAGUGGGGAAUAUUGCACAAUGGGGGAAACCCUGAUGCAGCGACGCCGCGUGGAGGAAGAAGGUCUUCGGAUUGUAAACUCCUGUUGUUGAGGAAGAUAAUGACGGUACUCAACAAGGAAGUGACGGCUAACUACGUGCCAGCAGCCGCGGUAAAACGUAGGUCACAAGCGUUGUCCGGAAUUACUGGGUGUAAAGGGAGCGCAGGCGGGCGAUCAAGUUGGAAGUGAAAUCCAUGGGCUCAACCCAUGAACUGCUUUCAAAACUGGUCGUCUUGAGUAGUGCAGAGGUAGGCGGAAUUCCCGGUGUAGCGGUGGAAUGCGUAGAUAUCGGGAGGAACACCAGUGGCGAAGGCGGCCUACUGGGCACCAACUGACGCUGAGGCUCGAAAGUGUGGGUAGCAAACAGGAUUAGAUACCCUGGUAGUCCACACCGUAAACGAUGAUUA